UUUUUGUUAGAUGAUAACUGUCACGUGUCAUGUUCUCAUUGGAUGUCAACUCCAUGGAAAAUGCAUUGUUGUUUUCAUUGACCAAUCAGAACGUGACAAGUGAUCGUCAAUAUUA
This is a non-coding RNA of Glycine max (soybean), 115 nucleotides long. Lineage: Eukaryota; Viridiplantae; Streptophyta; Magnoliopsida; Fabales; Fabaceae. The record is from Rfam.